UUCCAGCAAAGCAAAAUAAAUGGCCACCAAUCAGCUUUUCAGGAGCAACACUCCCUGCCUAGUUGACUCAAUCUACUCUUGGCCUUAUUUAUAGCACAUGCUUCGUAUACAGCAGACACUUGAUGGAUAUUGAAGGUAUAUGAGACUUUUCUAAAAAUAAAAACUAUCCAAUGUUGGCAUGA
Microcebus murinus (gray mouse lemur) is the source of this 182-nucleotide non-coding RNA. The record is from RefSeq and is a predicted model, not a curated record. NCBI's taxonomy places the organism in Eukaryota, Metazoa, Chordata, Mammalia, Primates, Cheirogaleidae.